Molecule: ribosomal RNA, 478 nt
Filed under: uncultured bacterium
Lineage: Bacteria
Description: partial 16S ribosomal RNA
Rfam family: Bacterial small subunit ribosomal RNA
Source: RNAcentral
GAUGAACGCUGGCGGCGUGCUUAACACAUGCAAGUCGAACGAGAAGUGAAGACGGAACCCUUCGGGCGGAAGGCUUUAUUUCGAGUGGCGGACGGGUGAGUAACGCGUGGGUAACCUGCCUCAUACAGGGGGAUAACAGUUGGAAACGACUGUUAAUACCGCAUAAGACCACAGCACCGCAUGGUGCGGGGGUAAAAACUCCGGUGGUAUGAGAUGGACCCGCGUUCGAUUAGCCAGUUGGCGGGGUAACGGUCCACCAAAGCGACGAUCGAUAGCCGAUCUGAGAGGAUGACCGGCCACAUUGGGACUGAGACACGGCCCAAACUCCUACGGGAGGCAGCAGUGGGGAAUAUUGCACAAUGGGGGAAACCCUGAUGCAGCGACGCCGCGUGAGUGAAGAAGUAUUUCGGUAUGUAAAGCUCUAUCAGCAGGGAAGAAAAUGACGGUACCUGAGUAAGAAGCCCCGGCUAACUACGUG